UCCCGUGUGGCUCAGUUAGUAGAGCAUGGUGUUUUGCAACGCCAGGGUUGUGGGUUCGAUUCCCACGGGGGGAC
Non-coding RNA from Salmo salar (Atlantic salmon), 74 nucleotides. The record is from Rfam. NCBI's taxonomy places the organism in Eukaryota, Metazoa, Chordata, Actinopteri, Salmoniformes, Salmonidae.